GGCAGCAGUGAGGAAUAUUGCGCAAUGGGCGAAAGCCUGACGCAGCGACGCCGCGUGGAGGAUGAAGGCCUUCGGGUUGUAAACUCCUGUCAGGGGGGACGAAUGUCAGCAGGAUGAAUAAUCCUGCUGGUUGACAGUACCUCCAAAGGAAGCCCCGGCUAACUCCGUGCCAGCAGCCGCGGUAAUACGGAGGGGGCCAGCGUUGUUCGGAAUUAUUGGGCGUAAAGGGCGCGUAGGCGGCUCUGCAAGUCGAAGGUGAAAUCCCUCAGCUCAACUGAGGAACUGCCUCCGAUACUGCAGGGCUUGAGUUCCGGAGAGGGUAGCGGAAUUCCCAGUGUAGCGGUGAAAUGCGUAGAUACUGGGAGGAACACCGGUGGCGAAGGCGGCUACCUGGACGGAUACUGACGCUGAGGCGCGAAAGCGUGGGGAGCAAACAGGAUUAGAUACCCUGGUAGUCCACGCUGUAAACUAUGGGCACUUGGUGUUGCGGGUAUCGACCCCUGCAGUGCCGGAGCUAACGCAUUAAGUGCCCCGCCUGGGGAGUACGGUCGCAAGGCUGAAACUCAAAUGAAUUGACGG
RNAcentral lists this ribosomal RNA (579 nucleotides) under uncultured bacterium. RNAcentral's name for it is "bacterial SSU rRNA". It matches the Rfam family "Bacterial small subunit ribosomal RNA", at positions 347 to 916 of the family's 1533-position model. The record is from RNAcentral.